Molecule: ribosomal RNA, 1486 nt
Filed under: uncultured Bacteroides sp.
Lineage: Bacteria; Pseudomonadati; Bacteroidota; Bacteroidia; Bacteroidales; Bacteroidaceae
Description: bacterial SSU rRNA
Rfam family: Bacterial small subunit ribosomal RNA
Source: RNAcentral
AGAGUUUGAUCCUGGCUCAGGAUGAACGCUAGCUACAGGCUUAACACAUGCAAGUCGAGGGGCAUCAGGAAGAAAGCUUGCUUUCUUUGCUGGCGACCGGCGCACGGGUGAGUAACACGUAUCCAACCUGCCCUUUACUCGGGGAUAGCCUUUCGAAAGAAAGAUUAAUACCCGAUGGCAUAAUGAUUCCGCAUGGUUUCAUUAUUAAAGGAUUCCGGUAAAGGAUGGGGAUGCGUUCCAUUAGGUUGUUGGUGAGGUAACGGCUCACCAAGCCUUCGAUGGAUAGGGGUUCUGAGAGGAAGGUCCCCCACAUUGGAACUGAGACACGGUCCAAACUCCUACGGGAGGCAGCAGUGAGGAAUAUUGGUCAAUGGGCGCUAGCCUGAACCAGCCAAGUAGCGUGAAGGAUGAAGGCUCUAUGGGUCGUAAACUUCUUUUAUAUAAGAAUAAAGUGCAGUAUGUAUACUGUUUUGUAUGUAUUAUAUGAAUAAGGAUCGGCUAACUCCGUGCCAGCAGCCGCGGUAAUACGGAGGAUCCGAGCGUUAUCCGGAUUUAUUGGGUUUAAAGGGAGCGUAGGUGGACUGGUAAGUCAGUUGUGAAAGUUUGCGGCUCAACCGUAAAAUUGCAGUUGAUACUGUCAGUCUUGAGUACAGUAGAGGUGGGCGGAAUUCGUGGUGUAGCGGUGAAAUGCUUAGAUAUCACGAAGAACUCCGAUUGCGAAGGCAGCUCACUGGACUGCAACUGACACUGAUGCUCGAAAGUGUGGGUAUCAAACAGGAUUAGAUACCCUGGUAGUCCACACAGUAAACGAUGAAUACUCGCUGUUUGCGAUAUACAGUAAGCGGCCAAGCGAAAGCAUUAAGUAUUCCACCUGGGGAGUACGCCGGCAACGGUGAAACUCAAAGGAAUUGACGGGGGCCCGCACAAGCGGAGGAACAUGUGGUUUAAUUCGAUGAUACGCGAGGAACCUUACCCGGGCUUAAAUUGCAGUGGAAUGAUGUGGAAACAUGUCAGUGAGCAAUCACCGCUGUGAAGGUGCUGCAUGGUUGUCGUCAGCUCGUGCCGUGAGGUGUCGGCUUAAGUGCCAUAACGAGCGCAACCCUUAUCUUCAGUUACUAACAGGUCAUGCUGAGGACUCUGGAGAGACUGCCGUCGUAAGAUGUGAGGAAGGUGGGGAUGACGUCAAAUCAGCACGGCCCUUACGUCCGGGGCUACACACGUGUUACAAUGGGGGGUACAGAAGGCAGCUAGCGGGUGACCGUAUGCUAAUCCCAAAAGCCUCUCUCAGUUCGGAUCGAAGUCUGCAACCCGACUUCGUGAAGCUGGAUUCGCUAGUAAUCGCGCAUCAGCCACGGCGCGGUGAAUACGUUCCCGGGCCUUGUACACACCGCCCGUCAAGCCAUGGGAGCCGGGGGUACCUGAAGUACGUAACCGCAAGGAUCGUCCUAGGGUAAAACUGGUGACUGGGGCUAAGUCGUAACAAGGU